Molecule: ribosomal RNA, 267 nt
Filed under: uncultured bacterium
Lineage: Bacteria
Description: partial 16S ribosomal RNA
Rfam family: Bacterial small subunit ribosomal RNA
Source: RNAcentral
GUCCACGCUGUAAACGAUGGGUACUAGGUUUGGUGGGUCUUGACCCCCGCCGAACCGGCGCUAACGCAAUAAGUACCCCGCCUGGGAAGUACGGUCGCAAGACUAAAACUCAAAGGAAUUGACGGGGGGCCCGCACAAGCGGUGGAUCAUGUGGUUUAAUUCGAAGCAACGCGAAGAACCUUACCUGGAUUUGACAUCCUCGGACAACCCUAGAGAUAGGGCUUUCGUAGCAAUACGACCGGGAGACAGGUGCUGCAUGGCUGUCGU